UUUUUAGAGUCGGGCUGCCCGGUGAUAGUGAUUAAACGGUUGCGACGAGAGUUGUACUAAGGUAGCGCGAUAAGUUGUCUUUUAAUUGAAGAAUGGUAUGAAGGGUUUGACGCGGAACGAUUGUCUCUAAAGAAAAAAAUGAAGUUUCCUUUUAAAUGAAAAGGUUUAAGUAUAAUUAAAAGACGAGAAGACCCUGUCGAGCUUGAUUAGGUUAAGAACAAGUGCUAGGUUUAAAGAAAAUAAAGAAUAGGGAGGCUUUACUAAUAUUUAGACUUAGUAGUUUAUUAGCUGAAAAUUAGUUGGGGCAACUGGCUUUAAAAUAACAUAGCUAAGAAACUAAUGAUCCUUUUUGAAAGAGAAAUAGCAAAAGCUACCGCAGGGAUAACAGCGUAAUUUUUCUUGAGAAACCUUAUCGAGGGAAAAGUUUGCGACCUCGAUGUUGGAUUAGAAAAACUUCUUGGUGCAGAAGUCAAGAUACGUAAGACUGUUCGUCUUUUUAUUUUCUACAUGAUCUGAUUCCAGACCGGA
Molecule: ribosomal RNA, 528 nt
Filed under: Cryptonema producta
Lineage: Eukaryota; Metazoa; Mollusca; Bivalvia; Venerida; Veneridae
Description: partial large subunit ribosomal RNA
Rfam family: Bacterial large subunit ribosomal RNA
Source: RNAcentral